Molecule: long non-coding RNA, 1320 nt
Filed under: Citrus x clementina
Lineage: Eukaryota; Viridiplantae; Streptophyta; Magnoliopsida; Sapindales; Rutaceae
Description: Citrus clementina (C. clementina) long non-coding RNA (CCLE_LNC002815)
Source: RNAcentral
UAGUUAAAAGUUCCAAAUGUUUUAUCUAUAAAAUAAUUAGUUUUAUCUAAUUAUUUUAUAGAUAAAACUAAUAAUAGUUUUAUAAUAAUUAUACCAAUUUUCCCUUCAUAUGUUUUAUCUACAUGAAGGGAAAUAAUUAGUUUCUUAACCAUUCAUAAAAUAAUGGCAAAAUUUUGUCUCCUUUUACUCUUUCUUGCUAACUUAGAUAUGAGCAUCAGCGUAUCCAUCGGAUAAAAAUAAUUACCUAAAUCCACCCAUAUUUUUUUGGAUAUUAUCUUAUAAUAUCUAUAUCCAUAACCAUAUAAUUUUGGAUGGAUAUUAUGCAAUCCAAUAUUGAUGAAUAUUCUAGACAUCCAAUAUGCAUAGUCCAAUUGCCAUCCCUAGCAAAAGCCAAAAGGUGUGGAAAUCUUUAUUUUAUUUCAUAUACAACUUCAAAUUUCUCUAAUAUUAAUUUAUAUAUCUCAUUAGAAAAAAGGGCAUCGGAAGACUAUAUGUUUAAAAAGCUUUCUUUUUCGAGUAAAUGUUUGAAAUGAAGUUUUAAUGUUUCGUUCUGGGCUUUGCGUUCAUAUUUUGCAUCAUUGAAUGCCUUAAUUUGGACGAAACUUUUGAUAUUUUUUGUUCCACGGUUGUGCCAUAUCAAUUCUUAAACCAUAUGAAAAAACGACCGAAAUUAACAAUAAUUUGAGCUUGUCUUGUCUGGUCAGCUUAUCAAAAAAAUAAAAAAUUGCAGUGAAUAAUUAAUGUUUUUCUGUACUUCCUGCUCAAUGUUGCGCUCUAUGAUUACAGAAUUUGCUGCUCGAAGUUAUGAAUUAAGAAUUGAUCAGGUCACUUCUCUGGGUGCGCAGCAUCAGGAAAUAAGAGCUAUUUUUCUGCGAAUUGUGAAAACAUGUCUUAAACGUUCCGCCUGUUGAAAGUUAAUUUCCGUCUUCGUUGUUCUACUUGUGCUUUACUUCACAGCAUCGGUACAGCUUUGAAAGUGUUAAAGCAACCAACCCUUGAGCAGUCUCCUUCGUUUGAAUAUCUUAAGUUGAAAGACAAUUAAUAUAAAGACGUAUAAUUUACUAUUGUUGUCGUCACUGUUAUUAUUAUUACUACUAUUUCAAAAUUUCAAGGUAUUGGAGAUGUGAAAUUUUAGAUCUAUAUUCAAGGUACACUCUGAUGCUUAAUAGUUAAUACAUGACAUCCAAUGUCUUAGUUUGUUUAUUUUGUUUGGCAAAUUUCAAAGAAUAUAUAGGUUUCAAAAAGUUUCUCUAAUCAUAUGCUGAAAGUCUUAUUGGGAGCAAGUGCAUUUUGCAACCCAAGCCUUUUCAUUUGGUCAAA